UACGAACCGUACAAACGUUAUUCGGAAUCACUGGGCGUAAAGGGUUUGUAGGUGGCCACUUAAGUCAGACGUGAAAUCCCUCAGCUUAACUGGGGAACUGCGUCUGAUACUGCGUGGCUUGAGUGCAGGAGAGGAACGCGGAAUUCCAGGUGUAGCGGUGAAAUGCGUAGAUAUCUGGAGGAACACCGGUGGCGAAGGCGGCGUUCUGGACUGUAACUGACACUGAAAAACGAAAGCCAGGGGAGCAAACGGG
RNAcentral lists this ribosomal RNA (253 nucleotides) under uncultured bacterium. Its description in RNAcentral is "partial 16S ribosomal RNA". It matches the Rfam family "Bacterial small subunit ribosomal RNA", at positions 524 to 776 of the family's 1533-position model. The record is from RNAcentral.